UACGGAAGGCAGCAGUGGGGAAUAUUGCACAAUGGGCGCAAGCCUGAUGCAGCCAUGCCGCGUGUAUGAAAAAGGCCUUCGGGUUGUAAAGUACUUUCAGUCGUGAGGAAGGUGUUAAGGUUAAUAACCUUAGCAAUUGACGUUAGCGACAGAAGAAGCACCGGCUAACUCCGUGCUAGCAGCCGCGGUAAUACGGAGGGUGCGAGCGUUAAUCGGAAUUACUGGGCGUAAAGGGCACGCAGGCGGUUAAUUAAGUUGGAUGUGAAAUCCCCGGGCUUAACCUGGGAAUGGCAUUCAAGACUGGUUAGCUAGAGUCUUGUAGAGGGGGUAGAAUUCCAUGUGUAGCGGUGAAAUGCGUAGAGAUGUGGAGGAAUACCGGUGGCGAAGGCGGCCCCUGGACAAAGACUGACGCUCAUGUGCGAAAGCGUGGGGAGCAAAC
Molecule: ribosomal RNA, 439 nt
Filed under: uncultured bacterium
Lineage: Bacteria
Description: bacterial SSU rRNA
Rfam family: Bacterial small subunit ribosomal RNA
Source: RNAcentral